RNAcentral lists this ribosomal RNA (415 nucleotides) under rape rhizosphere bacterium m9035. Its description in RNAcentral is "bacterial SSU rRNA". It matches the Rfam family "Bacterial small subunit ribosomal RNA", at positions 42 to 504 of the family's 1533-position model. The record is from RNAcentral.
GCAGGCUUAACACAUGCAAGUCGAACGCCCCGCAAGGGGAGUGGCAGACGGGUGAGUAACGCGUGGGAAUCUACCGUGCCCUGCGGAAUAGCUCCGGGAAACUGGAAUUAAUACCGCAUACGCCCUACGGGGGAAAGAUUUAUCGGGGUAUGAUGAGCCCGCGUUGGAUUAGCUAGUUGGUGGGGUAAAGGCCUACCAAGGCGACGAUCCAUAGCUGGUCUGAGAGGAUGAUCAGCCACAUUGGGACUGAGACACGGCCCAAACUCCUACGGGAGGCAGCAGUGGGGAAUAUUGGACAAUGGGCGCAAGCCUGAUCCAGCCAUGCCGCGUGAGUGAUGAAGGCCUUAGGGUUGUAAAGCUCUUUCACCGGAGAAGAUAAUGACGGUAUCCCGGAGAAGAAGCCCCGGCUAACUUC